GUCUACAAAUACAUACUAUAGUUUUAGACAUGUUUCAAAAAAUACUAGGYAAUAAAGCGAGGCAAUCCAAUGAGAAUGCAAAGAUUGAUAAAUCACUGAGGAGAAAACCAAAAGCGAAAUCAUGCAAAUGUGUCCCGCAAAGCUGCAAAUGUAGGAUACGAAAUGCAUUCAAGCUGUUGGCUAAACAACGUUAUCAUUUUAGAUCGAACGAAAUUCUUGUUUGAGUGUUGCAUUUUAAAUUAAAAAUAUCGAACCUAACUUUAAUUUUGAUUGUUGAUGCUAUCGUGGCUUUUAGAGGACAAAAAUGUGAAUGUUUGACCAAACUAGUUAUUUGACUUUAACCGGGAAAUACGAUGAAAUAAAGUGGAAUAGUUUUGUAUAUCAUAACACGUGGUGUAACAAAAAAAAAAAAUACAGCUUUAACAAAUGUUAAAAAUUAUUAAUGUGCUUUAUACAAGAUGCUUCUCAUAAGAAAAAUUAAAAUCUAAUUACCAGAAA
Long non-coding RNA from Bactrocera latifrons, 498 nucleotides. RefSeq lists it as uncharacterized. Lineage: Eukaryota; Metazoa; Arthropoda; Insecta; Diptera; Tephritidae. The record is from RefSeq and is a predicted model, not a curated record. The transcript is spliced from 2 exons.